This 480-nucleotide ribosomal RNA is filed under the name Streptococcus sanguinis. RNAcentral describes it as "bacterial SSU rRNA". It matches the Rfam family "Bacterial small subunit ribosomal RNA", at positions 28 to 490 of the family's 1533-position model. Lineage: Bacteria; Bacillati; Bacillota; Bacilli; Lactobacillales; Streptococcaceae. The record is from RNAcentral.
GACGAACGCUGGCGGCGUGCCUAAUACAUGCAAGUAGAACGCUGAAGAGAGGAGCUUGCUCUUCUUGGAUGAGUUGCGAACGGGUGAGUAACGCGUAGGUAACCUGCCUGGUAGCGGGGGAUAACUAUUGGAAACGAUAGCUAAUACCGCAUGAUAUUGAAUAUCGCAUGAUAAUUAAUUGAAAGAUGCAAUUGCAUCACUACCAGAUGGACCUGCGUUGUAUUAGCUAGUUGGUGAGGUAACGGCUCACCAAGGCGACGAUACAUAGCCGACCUGAGAGGGUGAUCGGCCACACUGGGACUGAGACACGGCCCAGACUCCUACGGGAGGCAGCAGUAGGGAAUCUUCGGCAAUGGGGGGAACCCUGACCGAGCAACGCCGCGUGAGUGAAGAAGGUUUUCGGAUCGUAAAGCUCUGUUGUAAGAGAAGAACGGGUGUGAGAGUGGAAAGUUCACACUGUGACGGUAUCUUACCAGAAAG